GUUCCCAUCGAUUAGUGGUCAGAUCGUCACGUUGUGGCAUUGCUGAAAUAGGCGAACAAAACCGUGGAGACGGGGGCUCGACUCCCCCUGGGAACA
This is a non-coding RNA of Daedalea quercina L-15889, 96 nucleotides long. NCBI's taxonomy places the organism in Eukaryota, Fungi, Basidiomycota, Agaricomycetes, Polyporales, Fomitopsidaceae. The record is from the annotation of a GenBank genome assembly.